ACGCUUCUCCUAAAGACUAAGCCAUGCAUGCUUUCGAAUAAGAAGAAGCAAUUCUCUCUGAAUCUGCGAACGGCUCCGCACACCAGUUGUAAACUAUAGCAAGCAUGUCCGGUGCCUGGCCUUUACGGGCUGGGUGUUGGGCGAUAAGGAUAACCCUGGUAAUUCUGAGGCUAAUACAUGACCGUAAUCCCUGGCCGACUAGCAAUAGGAAGCCGGGGGACGUGUAAUUGACUCGUAAGGAAGAGCCGGGAAAGGAUGCACGUUCUGACCGCGAUAAAAACGGAUCGGCUUCGGCCGGCCCGAGCGGCUCUUGCGAUGUGCUUCUGACCUAUCAACUAGAUGGCAGCGUAACGGACAUGCUAUGGUUGCAACGGGUACAGAGGAUUAGGGUUCGAUCCUGGAGAGUGGGCCUGAGAGAUUGCUCAUACUUCUAAGGAAGGCAGCAGGCGCGCAACGUUCCCCUUGGACAAUGUCCGAGGGCGUUAGGGGACAUAUGAAUGCUUGCCAUUGGUAGGCAAUCAAAUG
RNAcentral lists this ribosomal RNA (525 nucleotides) under Diderma hemisphaericum. RNAcentral describes it as "SSU rRNA". It matches the Rfam family "Eukaryotic small subunit ribosomal RNA", at positions 28 to 516 of the family's 1831-position model. Lineage: Eukaryota; Evosea; Eumycetozoa; Physariida; Didymiaceae. The record is from RNAcentral.